This is a long non-coding RNA of Bubalus bubalis (water buffalo), 2143 nucleotides long. RefSeq lists it as uncharacterized. The transcript is spliced from 3 exons. Lineage: Eukaryota; Metazoa; Chordata; Mammalia; Artiodactyla; Bovidae. The record is from RefSeq and is a predicted model, not a curated record.
AGAGCCUUGGUGAUACAGUGUUUCGUAAAAGAAUUCAUGGCUGAGCUGAAAGCCAUUCGAACUGGGCUCUUCAGCUGGAUUUGUGAGUCCGUGGGAUUAGCCGUCUUUUGCUUCCUACUUGGGAAAUGUUGCUGAGCGCCUCUGAUUCAUCCCCUCUCACAGCAUUUGGUGCCUAGAGGUUAAAAGGGUGGCCUACAGUUGUUUCUGGGAUUUUCUUCCAAACUAACACCCAUUCUGACAGUUUUGAAACUGCGGUUUUUCAAGUUUGUGCAUGCAAGGCCAAAGCAAUUAGUUAACAACUGUUGUCUGUUCUAGAAUGAUUAUCAAAUGCAAUCCAAUCUCAGAGGGCGGGUGUUACGAUGUGGAAAAAAAAAAUGCAUCUGUGAGCUGAGGAGGAUCUCCUUGGAGAAAUCCUGUGACAAGCAGAAAUGGCCUGGCUCUAGUUCACUGCCGUACUCAGUCACUGGCUAAAAGCUGCCUGGGGAGGGUGUGGCCCUGGCAUGAAUUGCUAUCACAAAUGCCCAAAGUGCAGCUGCUGGAAUCUACUGGCUAACUGUACUACUACGUGAAGUUUUUCUUUUUCAAGGAUGAUCUUAGCAAUCCUCCAUGGCUGCCAUACCCCAUAAAGUAUACGGAACAGUUACUACCAGCCCUAUUUUAAACAGGUUUCAUAUAAUUAAAGAUGUUCAGUGUGACAGUGGAAAAUUCCCAGCUUUCAUGUGUCUUGCUAAGUGGAUUUUUAAAAUGUUUUUCAAAAUCCUGUUGUGAUAGAUGGUCUUCAAAGACAACCACCGUCUAUUUCUUUUAUGGCUGUAGGUCAGUUGGCACCUCGUGUCCAGUGCCUCCCCUUGCAUCUGGGUGGGACUUACGCCCUGCUUUGACCAAUAGAAUGCAGUGAUGUAAUGCUUGGCAGGAUUUAAGAGGACAGGUAACUUCUCUCUUUCCUCUUAGAAGCCAGGUAUCAGGUGAGUAGUUUGACCCUAAUCUCUAUCCAAUUAUGAGAAAACUGGUCUACAAAAUAGCUGACUAGUACUUGUCAGAAGUGUGCCAAGAUCGUGAAAGACAAAGCUUAUAAACUGUUACACACUGGAAGAGACUAAGGGAAAAUUACAGCUAAACAUAAUGUGGGAUCUUGGCUAGGAUCUUUGGGUAGAAAAAAAUUGUUAGUAGAUCAACUGGUGAAGUUUAAUUUAAGUGUCUGCAGUUUAGUCAAUAAGCAUUAUACCAAAUUAGUUAACUGUGGUCAUGUAUUCAGGUUGUAUAGGAAGUUAACAUUAGGGAAACUUGGGUGACGGGUGUGUAGGAACUCUCUCUACUAUUUUUAUAACACUAAGUGUCAGGAUGAUCUGUGAUGUAUCAGUAGAUAACCUGGAACACCAGAAGAGAGGCAGCAACUCAGAUCACACAGCAGGGUUCCUUUUGAGUUGGGGCUCUUGGAAAAAAAGUACUGAUCUCAAGAUUGUGAUUAAGAACUUGGAUUCUGGAAACAGAGUAUCUGGCUCGACACUGACUCUCUGACAUUAGGUUAGUUAGCAAACAUCCUGACCAGUCCCAUCUGUGAAUGACUACAGGGAGGAAGAAAUUAACACAUCCCCUCUAGGGAGCUGAUGGGAACCAGGAGAUGUUCGACUACUCCCUUCUCUUUUAGUAUAAAAGAAACCUAAAUUCUAACUCAGGCAAGCUGGUUCUUUGUGGGGAUGAGCCCAUCAUCUUGGCUUGCUGACUUUUCCAAAUAAAGUCGUUAUUCCUUGCCCCAAACUUGUCUCUUGAUUAUUGGCCUGUCCUGUGGUGACCCAGUAACAGGAGGAUGUAUCAUCCACUGCCUAAUUGUGGUUUGACCCCUUCUUACAAACAUGGAGUUUGGGGUCUGCAUUUUGUCAUAGAAGCACAAGGUCCUUUCUGGGGCUUUCCCUCAACUAGCUUUCCCUCAAGCUCAGGGGUCUGCUGAUAUCUUUCACUACCCUUUCUGGGUUGUGGUUUUACAAAGAGGAAGUCUUUGGAGCUAGUCUUGGUUGAAUUCAAAUACUAUCCUCAUCUCUUUUUAGCUGUGUGAUCUUAGGCAAGUUAUUUUAUCUCUCUGAACCUUGGGUUCACAUGUGAAAUGGUGUUAAUAUUAAGAGGGAGAGGGUGGGAAGAUUUGGGA